This is a long non-coding RNA of Zalophus californianus (California sea lion), 400 nucleotides long. RefSeq lists it as uncharacterized. The transcript is spliced from 3 exons. The record is from RefSeq and is a predicted model, not a curated record. NCBI's taxonomy places the organism in Eukaryota, Metazoa, Chordata, Mammalia, Carnivora, Otariidae.
UUUUGAAAGCAACAAUGGCUCCACUAUUUUGCCUUUUGGUAAAUAGAUGAGGGGUAUGAAAUGGUGUUUUUUUCCAAGUUAAAGGUCAGAUUGACUGCACUACUAUGAGCUUCUAAGGGACAUAUGGCUAUGGUUAUAUUCCAGGGACUUCUACAGGAGCGUGGUCCUGUCACCCUGGGAGCUAUGACCCUACCCUAAUAAAGCAAAAGGAAUGAGUGAGCUUACCUUGGCUUUGUUCCAUUGUCAAAUUUCUCCUUUUGCUGGUUCUGGAAUUUUUCUAUUUCAUCAUUUAUUCCUUCAUUCUAGUGAAGCAUGUCCCCGUGAAGUCUCUUGAGAAAGAAGGGAUGGAAGAGAGAGAGAGCGCAAGUGGGGUGUUGGGAGGGGAAUGGAGAGGCAAAAG